This 443-nucleotide ribosomal RNA is filed under the name uncultured Caldilineaceae bacterium. RNAcentral describes it as "bacterial SSU rRNA". It matches the Rfam family "Bacterial small subunit ribosomal RNA", at positions 923 to 1382 of the family's 1533-position model. Lineage: Bacteria; Bacillati; Chloroflexota; Caldilineae; Caldilineales; Caldilineaceae. The record is from RNAcentral.
GCACAAGCAGCGGAGCGUGUGGUUUAAUUCGAUGUUACACGAAGAACCUUACCUGGAUUUGACAUGCACGUAGUAGUGAACCGAAGGGAACGAGCCUUCGGGCAGCGUGCACAGGUGCUGCAUGGCUGUCGUCAGCUCGUGCCGUGAGGUGUUGGGUUAAGUCCCGCAACGAGCGCAACCCUCGUCGCUAGUUACAUGUGUCUAGCGAGACUGCCAGGUUAACCCUGGAGGAAGGUGGGAUGACGUCAAGUCAGCAUGGCCUUUAUGUCCAGGGCUACACACACGCUACAAUGGUCGGUACAAUGGGAUGCCAAGCCGCGAGGCGGAGCAAAUCCUCAAAGCCGGCCUCAGUUCGGAUUGGAGGCUGCAACUCGCCUCCAUGAAGUCGGAGUUGCUAGUAACCGCAGGUCAGCUAUACUGCGGUGAAUACGUUCCCGGGCCUU